ACAAUCAUACAAACCCAGGCCUGUAUAACCUAGAAAAUACAUCUGUAACCUACGUAACCUAUGUAUGCUCUUCUGUUUUACCGGACAACAAUCAUACAAACCCAGGCCUGUAGCCAGGGGGUGACUGGAAGGUUCACUCCAUUCUCAAAUAGAGAAUGGUCCUCAUAAUAAACUUAUCCCUCCCAAUGAAAAUUCUGGUACAAACUCUACAGUUAGAAUAAAGUUAUCUUUUAUUGUGUGCAUGUGUAUGUGUAUACGGAUCUGCUUUUUUAAACACCUGUUCUAUGUAAAUCAACCAACGAAAUAUGCCAGAAAAUGUAGUUAACUAGUUUACUGUUGUUUAUUAGUCUGUUUUAGGACAGAAAAUAUGUUGUCAAUCAAUCAUAGGUCAUUUAUAUUAUUUAUUUAUUUAUUUAUUUAUUUAUUUAUUUAUUUAUUUAUUUAUUUAUUUAUUUAUUAAUGAAGCAACUUAAUUAACAUGAAACAUUUAAAAAGUGUAUAAAUAAAAACGAAAGUAGAGUACUUGAGUAAUUAUGAAGAUUCAAAUUAGAAUCCAUAAUGUUAUGUAUAGCAUAAAAAAUUACAACAAAAGUUCUAACCACAUGUCAUGUAAAUUCAAUGAGCUGUGAACCUUUGCAGCAGGUGUAUAUGUUGACUUUUAUGCUUGCAAUGACGUGCAACGACAUUCUGCACCCGAUGUUUGCAGAUACGAGCAAUAUAUAUAUUAAAAUGUGAUGAAUGAGUAAACGCAGCGGCGGUAAUCGCGGGCUCAAAAUCGAGGGUUUAUGAAGAAGAGAUAGAUGUUAUGUUUGUUAGUUUAAGGAAUUGAAAGCAAUUAGAAAUCUUGAACCUACAACCUUCAUUGGUCUUGGUCCUGGUUCAAAGGGAAAGUUAUAUACGGAGUAUCUACAGGGUUUUUCAAAGGUAUAUUGCUAUUUAGUGACCAACAGUAAUUUGAUGAGGAAGUCACGUAUUGUGUUACUGAAUGAAACGGAAAAAUGAAGAGAAAGAAGGAAAGCCCUUUUUUAAGAUUGCUGUGUUAGCUAACAGUAUUUAAAAUGACAGUUAAAGCAGUGAUAUAUUCGUCAGUAUUUUUAUCAUAGAAUGUGUUAUGUAUGAAUGGCUGAUUAUAUUAUUGCGUUGGUGACACUUAUUCUUCAAGUUAUCUAUAAAAUGUAAUGAGGACAUUGAUCUUUACAUUUAUUUAUUUAUUUAUUUAUUUAGGAAAUCUACAUAUGUGUAUGGUUAUUGUGUGUUAUGUUAUUCGUAAAGUAGGACGCUCACCUGUAAAUAGAUGGAUGAUAAAUUUCCAUACCCAAAUUAUUAAAGCACUUUUAUAGUUACUUGGACAUGGAAACUG
This is a long non-coding RNA of Nematostella vectensis (starlet sea anemone), 1360 nucleotides long. RefSeq lists it as uncharacterized. The record is from RefSeq and is a predicted model, not a curated record. The transcript is spliced from 2 exons. NCBI's taxonomy places the organism in Eukaryota, Metazoa, Cnidaria, Anthozoa, Actiniaria, Edwardsiidae.